This 254-nucleotide ribosomal RNA is filed under the name uncultured bacterium. RNAcentral describes it as "partial 16S ribosomal RNA". It matches the Rfam family "Bacterial small subunit ribosomal RNA", at positions 524 to 776 of the family's 1533-position model. The record is from RNAcentral.
UACGUAGGGUGCGAGCGUUGUCCGGAAUUAUUGGGCGUAAAGAGCUCGUAGGCGGUGUGUCACGUCGGCCGUGAAAACCUGCAGCUUAACUGUGGGCGUGCGGUCGAUACGGGCAUCACUGGAGUUCGGCAGGGGAGACUGGAAUUCCCGGUGUAGUGGUGGAAUGCGUAGAUAUCGGGAGGAACACCAGUGGCGAAGGCGGUUACCUGGAGCUUUGCUGACGCUGAUGCGCGAAAGCGUGGGGAGCGAUCCGG